Molecule: ribosomal RNA, 466 nt
Filed under: uncultured bacterium
Lineage: Bacteria
Description: bacterial SSU rRNA
Rfam family: Bacterial small subunit ribosomal RNA
Source: RNAcentral
GCCAGACUCCUACGGGAGGCAGCAGUGAGGAAUAUUGGUCAAUGGUCGGGAGACUGAACCAGCCAAGCCGCGUGAGGGAUGAAGGUACAGAGUAUCGUAAACCUCUUUUGUCAGGGAACAAAGGCGGGGACGUGUCCCCGGAUGAGUGUACCUGAAGAAAAAGCAUCGGCUAACUCCGUGCCAGCAGCCGCGGUAAUACGGAGGAUGCGAGCGUUAUCCGGAUUUAUUGGGUUUAAAGGGUGCGUAGGCGGAAUAUCAAGUCAGCGGUAAAAAUUCGGGGCUCAACCCCGUCGUGCCGUUGAAACUGGCGGCCUCGAGUGGGCGAGAAGUAUGCGGAAUGCGUGGUGUAGCGGUGAAAUGCAUAGAUAUCACGCAGAACUCCGAUUGCGAAGGCAGCAUACCGGCGCCCGACUGACGCUGAGGCACGAAAGCGUGGGUAUCGAACAGGAUUAGAUACCCUAGUAUC